GCAUAUCAUGAUGCUUGACAAAUCACAUAUAACCAUGGAGAGUGUAUAGGCAAUGACCAUAAUAAAUCUAGUAAUUCCUCCUUAAUAAAAUAGAUGUUACAUGUUGAUUUUUCUUGAUGUAGUACUUUGACCAUUAAUAACUUUGAUUGUGUAUGAGUGAAAAAAUUAUAAGAAGUUAAGAUUAUAAAAGUAUAUAUUGAGACUAAUCCAACAAUAUAUUAUAUAGUAAAGAUUAAUUUUAUCUAAAACUAAAAAAAUGCAUGGUCAAAUAUAGUAGAUGAAUAAUGCAAUUUUUCAAAGUGUAACAUCUAUUAUAUUAUGGAGGAAAUAUUUCAUAGAUUACCAUACAUGAUACAUAACCACAUAAGAUUAUAAAUUAAUAAAAUACAUGUGUGAGAUUCAUAUUGCAAGCCGACUAAGGGCCUGUUCGGCAAAAGUAGCUGUUGGGUAGCUGUUGGCUGUUGGAGUAGCUGUUAGCUGUUCGGGUAGUUGUUAGCUAUCGGCUAGUAGCUGUUAGCUCUUAGCUGUGAAAGUAGUUGUUUACAAUAUAAGUGUUCGGUAAAAGUAGCUGUUAUGCUUAUAUAUGAUAAAAAUAACAUAUUUUUUAAUUAUAAUAUAUUAUAUGAUUAAUUAUUAUUGAUUAUUUUAUGGUUAAAUUAAAUUUCAAUAUAUGAACACAAUGCAUUAUUUUUCUUUUACUAUGAUGUCCUUAAAUUUGUUUAUGUAUAGUUUUGUCUUUUUAACUAGAUCCCACUCCAUUUAAUACUUGUACUUCUAUUUCAUCUCUCAUAUUACUUCCAAUAAAAAUCAACUAGCUAUACUUGUUGGAAUUCUCUGGAGAUUUCAUGCUUGAAGAUGAAACUUUCUGAAUUCUCUCUUUUCUAAUUUCAGAUCUGGAUUCUCAAAUUUUUUUUUUCUCUUUCCUUCACUUAACUCUCAAACAUUUCAGAUUAUCUUCUUCGUUUUCAUUGUUCUGUGCUUCUUCUUCUUCUUUUUUCCAUUCUUUUUCCCCCAAACAUGUCCUUUUGUGGUUAAUCUUUCUAGGAUUCACAUUUUUCCUCUAAUAUGAGUAUAAAGUGGUCAAUUUUUUUUCUCUUUCAUUCAUUUAACUCUCAAACAUUUCAGAUCAUCUUCUUCGUUUUCAUUAUUCUGUGCUUCUUCUUCUUUUUCCCCCCAAACAUGUCCUUUUGUGGUUAAUCUUUCUAGGAUUCACAUUUUUCCUCUAAUAUGAGUAUAAAGUGGUCAAAUUUCGAAGAUGAUGGUAUUUUUCGGAUGUAUCUUUCAUUUCAUACGAGUUUUUUUUUUUAUUAUUUUGAAAGAUCUUUUCAUACCAGAAGAUAUUUCAGGAAAAGUGAAGAAGAAAUAGCACCAAAGAUAUGUUUCCAGAAAUUGAUUAUAUUUUGGAAAAUACUUGUGCGAUUUACUGGUAUUCCCAAAUUAAUCCAUAAAAAGUGAAAUUUUUUAUUAUAUAUUCAGGGUCUCAGAGGAAUUUAGGUAGAAGAUGAAGAAUUUUCUCAAAUUUUUGGUAUUUUUUUCCUUAAAAAACAGAAAAAAGAACUUGGAACGCUAUCUUGGUAUAUUGAACGUCAUAUUUUGUAGCGUUCAUGAAAAGCUGGCAAAAAGCUACUUGAAACACUAAUAACUACUUCAAUCUCUGGCAUGCCAAACACACAAUUAGUGUUUUGACUAAGUCAAAACACUAAAAGCUACUCGAAAAGCUGUCGCCGAACACGCCCUAAAUGGUGCACUUGCAAGUUGCGACAAAACUUAAACUAAGAAUUCAUCAUCUCAAAUGACAAAAUGGGCGAACCCUGAAAUACAAAAUGAUAAUCUAUUGAGGCCUAGUAGAGUGUUUGGACGAGGAAAUAUGGAGAUAAAAAAAAUACGAAAACAUCUACUUCCCUCAUUUUUUAAUAAUUGUAAUAUAUUGACUUUUACACUAUUUACAUACCUAAUCAUUUUUAUUAAUAACAUAUAUAAAUUAAAUAUCACUAGUGGAAAAAUAAAGAAGGGCUGCGCUAAAAAGGCCCUUAGGGUUGCGCUUUUUGACAGCAACCCUUUUAAUAGCAGUCUUUCACUUUUUAAGUAGGGCUGCGCUUUUUAAGCGCAGCCCUUCACUUUUUAAGUAGAGCUGCGCUUUUUAAAUAAAAAUGCAGCCCUUUUGACAUAAAAAAAAUAAUUUUUUUUUUUUUUUUUUUUGCAUUUUUUUUACUCCUAAAUAUAUCUACUCAUGUUGAUAUUGUUUAAACAACACAAAUUGUUUUAUAUUAAAUGGUAAUUCAAUCUAUAUCAUAUAAGCAAAUACUGGUUUGCAUAAUCCACAAAAACAAACAUCGAAAUGGUAGCAAGCAUAGAUUUGCAUAAUCCAAAAAAAAAAACAUCAAAAAAAAAAAAACAGAAAAAUACAACAAAGAAAUGAAUACAAACCAAAAAAAAACAGAAAUUAAUAUCCUGAAAAGAAAAAUCGAAAAAAAACUACAUCAGAAUUACAAAAAAAAAAAACAUAGAUCUAUAACUCGAAAGGCGCAAACGACAGUACUGAAUACAACUGUAUAACAAAAAACAUCAGAAAUGAAUACAACAUAUAUGUAUUGCUUAAUUAAUUUUACAAUAUUAAAGAAAAAAAAAAGAUCUAUAAUCUAUUAGCCCUUCACUUAACGAAGGGCAGAGGAGGAAACGACGAGGCAAGGCGGUUUUUGCGCGACGGUGGUUGAGGGAGAAGGUGGUUUUUGCGCGACGGUGGUUGAACGAACGACGCGGCAAGGCGGUUUUUGCGCCACGGUGGUUGAACGAACGACGAACUCGCGAGCCACGGUGGUUUUUGCACAGAUGGAGAAGGUGUUGAACUCGAAAACGAAUGACUGAGAACUUUGUGAAGGAGGACUUCCGGCAGGUUAUUCUAGAAAAAAAGAGAGGAGAGAAAGAAGAGAAUGAGAGAAAGGGAGAAUGAGGACGGCUGAGGGUCGUGAGGGAGAGAGAGAGGGAGGAGAGAGAACUUAGGGUUUUGAUGUUUUGAAGAAGGAAGAGAAUGGGCUUGGACUUUUGGUGUAUUAUUGAGCGCGCGAAUUUAAGUGAAGUUUUUUUUAAUAUACAAAAGCCCAUAAAGGGCUACGCUUUUUU
Long non-coding RNA from Beta vulgaris subsp. vulgaris (sugar beet), 3120 nucleotides. RefSeq lists it as uncharacterized. The transcript has 2 exons. Lineage: Eukaryota; Viridiplantae; Streptophyta; Magnoliopsida; Caryophyllales; Amaranthaceae. The record is from RefSeq and is a predicted model, not a curated record.